UAGGGAAUCUUCCACAAUGGACGCAAGUCUGAUGGAGCAACGCCGCGUGAGUGAAGAAGGUUUUCGGAUCGUAAAGCUCUGUUGUUUGUGAAGAAGGAUAGAGGUAGUAACUGGCCUUUAUUUGACGGUAAUCAACCAGAAAGUCACGGCUAACUACGUGCCAGCAGCCGCGGUAAUACGUAGGUGGCAAGCGUUGUCCGGAUUUAUUGGGCGUAAAGCGAGCGCAGGCGGAAGAAUAAGUCUGAUGUGAAAGCCCUCGGCUUAACCGAGGAACUGCAUCGGAAACUGUUUUUCUUGAGUGCAGAAGAGGAGAGUGGAACUCCAUGUGUAGCGGUGGAAUGCGUAGAUAUAUGGAAGAACACCAGGGGCGAAGGCGACUCUCUGGUCUGCAACUGACGCUGAGGCUCGAAAGCAUGGGUAGCGAACAGG
RNAcentral lists this ribosomal RNA (429 nucleotides) under Bacillota bacterium. Its description in RNAcentral is "Firmicutes bacterium partial 16S ribosomal RNA". It matches the Rfam family "Bacterial small subunit ribosomal RNA", at positions 355 to 776 of the family's 1533-position model. Lineage: Bacteria; Bacillati; Bacillota. The record is from RNAcentral.